RNAcentral lists this long non-coding RNA (7211 nucleotides) under Gigantopelta aegis. RNAcentral describes it as "uncharacterized LOC121376314". Lineage: Eukaryota; Metazoa; Mollusca; Gastropoda; Neomphalida; Peltospiridae. The record is from RNAcentral.
AUAUGCAUUUUUUUCUUCAGAUUUAUUUUGUGGUGGUGAUAGUGGGUUUUUUUUACUUCUAACAUCUGGAAAUAUAAUUAGUUUUGCCAUGGAUUUAUAUUAUUUGAUGAUGGGGGAGGAUUUUCCUUUUGGAUGUUAAACUCAGUUUUAUUUCCUUUAACUAGGAUCACAAGGAUUAAAAAAAAAAAAAAAAAAAUUCCAUCAAUUUUAACCCGUAUCCUUCCGUUGACGUGUAAUGUAUCAUUAAAUCUGAAAAUAAAACUAUUUUAUUUGUUGUAGAUGUUGUUUUUUUAACAUUGAAAAAGUUUACAGCAUAAUGUUUGAUUAAAUUUCAAAAUCCAGUUAUUACAAGGUAAAAAAACUAAACAAAAAAGCAACUACAACAGAAAAAUAAAAUGAUAUGGUAAAAUAUACAUGUACAUACAUGUUUUUCAAUCUGUUAAUUUAUGCUUCAUCCCUUUCUCCAGUGAUGUACAUAUACAUUGUUUUUCAUUUUUUUUUGUUUAAUCUCUGUUCUAUAAUGAUGUAUACACACUUUUUUUUAAUCCAUAUCCUUUUUGUUUAAUCUGUACCUUUGUAAACAGUACAUUUUAUGCAGCAACAAACAUGUAUGUUGUCAACUAGUUGAUAUUCUUUGCAUUUUAUUAUGAAUCUAGGUAUGUCCAUUUUCCCAGUAUUAUUGUUUUAUUAUUUUAUUUUAAUGUUUUUUUCCAGUCAUCUUUGACCUGAAAUUCUUUCCUUAUGAGGCCUCUGUACAUGAUGUAACCUCACUGUGAUGAUUUCAUGACUCUACAAUAUGGGUAAAAACAUUCUCAAACUUCAGAUGGGACCCUGAAAAGGGUCCACACCGAGGUUGCGGAUUAGUUUGAAUUUGAAAAAGUCAAAAAUUGUUACUUCUGAAUCCUGGCCGAGGUUCCUGGUCAUCAGUUUGUCUGUUGAUGGGGCCUUGAGCAAAUUGUCUUCAUUUGCUAUUCAGACGUCUUACUUGCAGAUGCUAGUUCCUAUACACAACUAGGAACUUAGGCUUUGUCUUUGUGCUUUUUGAACAUAUAUAUGCUUUAAAAUAACUAUAUAUAUAUAAUUAUAUACAUGUAUAUAUAAUUUUCUUUUAAAGAGAUUUUUAAUUUUUUUUAUUUACUUUCUUUUUUUUUGUAUAGCUGUACAUGUAUUUUUGGAGGGUUGGUUUGUUUUGUUGAGGCAGGGAGUGGGGUCUAAUCUUGUACGCAUUAAUGCACAACUAGGGAAACGUGUUCAUUUAAAAAAAAACCUUUUUAAUAAAUUAUUGCGUAUUGUUAAUGAGGUUGUACAAGCAAUCAGUUAUAAUUAAAUUUCUGUUACAUUCAUUACAACGUAACGUCAUCCCAUUGGUCCAGACGUAGCAAAGGGAGUUUGUUCAUUUUUCGAUGAAUGUAAAAAUUACGUCGUCAGGGAAUGUCAUCUGAUGACGUCAUUUUAUAUGGGGCAAGUUGUGUUAUUGAGUGUUGCUGUUGAUGGAUAAAAAAUAAUUCAAUUAAAGUAUGAUGUUUUAGUGUUGUUAUUAGCCUGUAUGAUUCAAAUUUAAUUAUAAGUAUUGUUUGUUAUUUAUUUUACAUUCAUCUGGGUAUGAAAUAAAAAAAAAUCGUCCACAAACUGGUGAGAACGGCUUCAUUGAUUCACAAAAUUUGCGGAUGAUUUUUUUUGUUCAUACCCCGAUGAACGUAAAAGAAAUAACAGACGAUCUUCAAAUAUUUUUUAUUACCUUCAUAUACAUGGACAUAAAUGUGGCAAAUUAGUAACUUUAGACAUUCUCCCUUUUCUGGAGGUGUCACGAUUGACCUACAUGUAGUUCAUGAUAUGGUAUGUAUCACAAUACAUACUCAUGAUACAAUACAUACUAUGAUUCAUGAUUCAUGCUGUUUCUCUGUAAAACUAGAUGAAAUGAUUUUUGUUUUAACUGUUUGAUAAUUAACUGUAUAAUUUUUAUAUUGAUUCUUUAACAUUUAUUUUUCAUGUAUUUGUUUUAACACCCAUUUUUAUUUGUGCUGGGAUGCAAUGAAUUAUCCUCACAUCCAUAGAUCAUCUGUUUUUGUGGUUUUUCCUUGUAGGAACGUCAACCAAAUGAGUUGUGAUCUUAAUUAAGAUCAAUUAUGGAUAAUAAAUAGGAUAUUAAACUCGCUACUAUUUCAUAUAAUGUUUAUGUCCCCUGUGAAAUAAGUUUUCAUUCUCACUUGCUAAAGCUUGUGACAAUUAAAAAUUAUUUCACUCUGAACAUAAACAUGAUGCAACAUGAAAGCUCAUUUAAUAUCCUAUAAAUAUGACAAAAGUGAAACACUGAUUAAACAGGUUUAACGUAAAAAUACCACAGCAUUGACAUAUUGAGAGAAGCACUGCAUGCUUUCUGCCAGAAAAUAAGACCAAUUAAGUGCCUCUAUUCGACAUUACAUUUCAUGCACUUUGCCAUAUAUGAAACAGCAGUUCUUUUACUAUGCAUGUGUAAUCUUUCUAAAAGUUACAACAUUUAUAACCAUUUAUUUGCAAGAUUUUAGGGCACAUAACUUUACCCUCUGUACCUUCUGGCAGAAAUUCUGAGCUGCAGAUACAGUCUGUCCAUUUCAUUGUCUUUCAUGUGUUAGAAAAAUGAAAUGAGAAUCUAUAACUGGUCAAAUUUGAAUAGAUAACAAAAGCAAUGGCAUUGUGUAUUGUGUCGUUGGUAGUAAUAUCAAUGCAUUGGCCUUUCGUGACACCCUGACAAUUUUAUGCAUUUUAAUGGCAUCUAAAACUGUAUUUACUUAGAUGCACUUUUUGAAAAUAUAGUCGGUACUACCAGUAGUCUAGUGUAUAAACCAGCAGGAAAUGAAAAGCUGCCAUAUAUAACUUUCAUGUAUGAAUAUACAUUUCCAAAUAGCUUGUCAAAACUACUGGCCUUAGUUUUUAGACUGAAAACUAUUUUAGGAUUUUACCUAGUGAGCCCAUUUUAUUAUUUUUUCAAUAUUGUAUUUUUAUUUUUUAUUUUAUUUAAUGGGUAAUAGAAUGUGUAUUAAAUGUAGAUCCCAGUUUACAUGUAAAAAUUAAAGUUUUAUGGGCUGAUUUGACUGUUUGUUCAGGGCCCGUGCUUUUAAAACUUUUAUAGUCCAGGCUCGAUGUCAAAUGAUUAUCAUAUGCAUGCUAUGUGUAUGGCGUUGACAUGACGUUAGUCUCACUCAAUAGUCUUUGUGUCUUUUAUAACCUUUUAUAACAACCAGGCCUGGGGCGUCACUAAAUAUUAACUGCUUUUUUUUUCUUGCUUUUUUUAACUGUUUCAUAAUUAAUUGUAUAAUUUUUAUAUUGAUUCUUUAACAUUUAUUUUUCAUGUAUUUGUUUUAACACCCAAUAGCCACCAUUUUUAUUUGUGCUGGGAUGCAAUGAGUUAUCCUCGCAUCCAUACGUCAUCUGUUUUGGAAAUUUUACCUUUUUAACCUCAUGUAUUUUUCAUCUUAAUUUAAUUUAAUUACUGUUUAGAAAACAAUGAUUUUUUUUAGUGAGAUACCUGUAACAUUAACAGGGUUUGUACCGGUCCUGUAAAGCAUUAAAUAAUAAUGUUUCAACUGUGUGGUGCUCCUGGCAGUGUGAUACAAACAUGAGUUUCUCAAAAACUGACGCAUACAUGUGUGUGCACAUCACGAUACAACAGUGACCUGAAUUCAGUGAAUGUGUUGAGAACGUGUCAUUUUGUUUAUGUACAAAGAUUCAUAUCAAGCAAUGGAAUAUAUUAUGUGAAUGUGUGUAUAGCUGUAAAUACAUUAUGCAGUUAAAAGUAAAGAAAUUUGAACAGUAUGGACAUGAUUCAAUACUGUUUGUUUGACACCCAAUAGCUGUUGUUCAUGCUGGGGUGUCAUUAACCAAUCAAUCAUUCAGGAUUCAAGGACAAGGAUGUGGGGUGGGGGGUUUUCUGAAAUGGAUAGUUAAAUCACAAAUGUGCUGUGCUGUGACUGCUGAAAUGUCUUCUAAUAUGAUAAACGAGCUGUUCAGAUUGUGUGUUCAGUAUGGAUAUCUGAAGGUGUGCAAAUCUGCUGUCAACUGAAGCUAGCUCACUGGUCACCUACUGAGGCUGUCGGUCAUCACUAACUAUUUGUUGAUGAAGGGCAUUGAGACAUGCGGAUUUCUAUUAAAUAGGUGCCUACUCAGAAAAGCAAUAUGCAGGAAUUGACAAGCUGAUUAUACAACCUGCAAAACAGUUAUUUUGAGCCAUACAUAAAGGACAUGCCAGAGGUUUUUCAUCAACCAGUUCAGCAACUGACAGCAACAGACUGCACUACCACAUAGACAGCUAUAGCAUAGGUUGCUUUUCCAUAGAAGUGAAGUAAGAAGAAGAAUCUUGAGAUCCACAUCAUUGGAUGCACCUUCAAGCUUAAUAAGGAUAUAUUUAGGAAAGAUGAAGCAUUCACUGAAUUGUCUGUAGAACUAUACACAGUUUUCAUGAUUUCUUGACAUGAUUUCAACAGAGACAAAAUUAUGUCAAAAUUACCGUUCCAUUUAGGUGGGUGUGCAAUAAUGUGAUAUGAAGAAUUAUUGGAGCUCGUUAAGUGAUUAUUUUUUUUCCUCACCUGGACAAAGUAGGAAGGAAUGACAUGUUUUUCUUUUCCAUUGACAUUGUACUGUUUUGUAUGUUUUAUAUUUUAAGGUUUUUUCUUGGGGGGGGUGGGGGGUGUUUUGAUUUUAAUAAAAACCAAACCAUUGGCAUUUACAGGAUGGUGGGCAUGUAAAAACAGUUUUGUCUGAUACCAUCAUGUUUUUUUAAUAUUACAUUCAUCUAAAGUUAGAAGCAAAAUCCUGUCUAGGGAGUGAUCGCAAUCUCUCACCCUCUUGAACAUGCCAUAAAUUAUGUUAAGUUUAACAGUUCCAGAAAAUGUAUAUUUCUAUAAUGUAUGUUUUUUUUUCUCCUAAAUAAACCUAAUGUAAUAUUAUUUAUCCUGCAACCACCGAUUCUGUUGACAGAUUACGUUGGUGGAUAAAGCAAAGUCAUAUACAUAUAGUAGCAAGAUAUGACUUGACAUUACAAAAUCGCUCAUUUGACCUUUAGGUCAUGAUACAGUGUAGUUGAAAUAACAAAAAUAAUAGCUUUUCCCCUUAAUUUUUAUGGUCAGGGCCCCGUUCCACAAAGCGAUCUUAGCGCUAAGAUCACCUUAACUAUGUUAAAUAUGUUAGCUGUGCAGUUACGGUGAUCUUAGGUCUAAGAUCGCGUCGUGGAAUGGGGCCCUGUAGAAUAAAGAUGACCUUUAUCCUGUUCAGGCCAAAUGAGAAAUUAACUUUAUGGGAAUUUCCUAUUCUUACCUUCACAGGAUAAAGCAGAUAUUCGACACCAUAAACUAGUUAUUCUCUGUAUAUGUAGUGUUUACAAUUAUCAACAUUUUCAUGACCAUACAAACCAUAUACUUAGGGAGAGAGGGUUAUACUUAAUACUUGUAAAACAAAAUAAAAAGGUUGGUUAAAUAUAUGUAGGCCUACAAGUUUUAGAAGAUGGGGACAGAAAAAGAGAUUGUCUUGUGAAAAUGUUGCACUUAUGAAGUUUAAGGUUUGUGUAAUAACUAAUGUUCACAUGUUAAUAUACAUGUGUAGAUGUUUAUUAUUUUCAUGUGCAAACUCUGUACUAAUAUGCAUAAUUAAUUUUUUAUUUAUGGUGUGUCACAUUUUGGUGGAGUGCAGUCAUCUGAAGGAAACUAAAAAAAUAUAUUUUUGGUUGAAGAAAUGUGAUGGAAUCAUUUCGAUUUAAUCUUGAACUUUUGUUACAGUUUCUUUGUGAUACAGAUUUUUUUUCCAAAUUUUAAAUUGAAUUAUCUGUGAUAUUUGUAUUUUUGGCACAGUUAUUUACUGUGUUUUAAAUUAACUUUAUAUUCAUGUUGAUUAUGACUUCAUUUAUAAAUGCAUUUACCUUUGUUUGACCCAAUAGCUGAUAUAUUUUUCGUGCUGUGGUGUUGCUUUGUUAAACAUUCAUUAAUUAUUUUUGUCAUUGACAUCCAACAGAUAUGUUAUUAUUUGUGCUGGUGUGUUAUUCACUCAUUCUCUCAUUCAGAUUUUUGUACUGUUGAAUGUAAAUAUUUUUGUUAAAAUUAGUGUGUUUUUGAAAGGGAAAUAUACAGGGAUUUUAAACAGGUGUGUGCAAGAUGCUCAGUGCUCAAGAGUUGGAUGUUGAAUGUUUAGUAUAACACUGAGAGAGUGAAUCUGUUAAAUGGCUUGGGAGCAUGCCAUUUGAAAAUUUACACUUUUAUAUGCUCUCAGAUGAUGUCCAGCAAUCUGAAACUUUGCCGACAUUUUGUAUUAGUGGCUAAAUAAUGUCAUUCAGUUGAGUGACAGCAUUUCCCCCUUGUCUUAGCUAUGUGCAUUCACAUAUCUUGUUUAGUAAUGUUGGAAGUAGUUGUAAUUUGAUGGUAGGUAACAAGUAAAAUACUAGUUACUACAUUCAGUUUUACUAGAUAACAUUUGUAUGAAACUCGUGAAUUUGUUGUGCUAUAUGACCUCACUUUUGUUCGGUCAGAUACUAACAUUUGAAGUUCACUUGUUAAGUAAAAAUUAUAUCUAGUGAAAACUGGUAUAGUAUUUUGUAUUUAUUUACAUUUUUGAUUUUUGAAAUUUGGUUCAUAGUUGCAUCUAUGAACAUUCAUUUCAUUGCAUUUGCCUGUUUUUAAGAUUUGUUAAUUAAAUUAUUUUAUUUUUACAUUCAUAGAAAUGAACAUCUAUGAAUGCGACUGAGAGCCACACGGAAUAAGUUUAUGGUAGGCAAAACAUUUAAUUCUGCAGAAUUCUUGUUAUUUAAUGUAUUUGUGUGAGAGUGACUACAAUGCAGGCCUGUAGGAACAGUAUACAUGAAAUAGGGGAAGGAGCACAUGCUAUUAUUGGUGGGUUGGGGUGGCGAGUAGAUUUGUUUUGGUUUAUAUAUGCAGUAGGACAAAAAAGGUAAAGGUUUUGGGUCUCAAAAAACAUUUACCUCCUCCCACCUCACUUGCUAUGGGUCUGCAUUGUAGAUAAUGAGGUCAGUACUGCGUUGUUAAUUUUAGUACCACUGCACUUGAAAAUGUAUUGAACUGUACUUAGUGCCAGAUUUUUGUAAUACAUACUUGUUUAUUUUUAUAUUUCUCAUAACACUCUGAACCAAUUAUUUUUUUAUAUAAAGAAUCAUCCAGUUCAGACUACUGUGUAUGAAUGGAUAUUUUACAAUGUUUUACAACAGUUAAAGAAUUAAAGACAUUAUUAAUUGA